Molecule: long non-coding RNA, 229 nt
Filed under: Carica papaya (papaya)
Lineage: Eukaryota; Viridiplantae; Streptophyta; Magnoliopsida; Brassicales; Caricaceae
Description: long non-coding RNA (CPAP_LNC007465)
Source: RNAcentral
AAAUAACAAUUGACUUGAUUUUUUUUUAGUUAAAGGGUUGACUGUUGACUGUUGACUGUUGACUGAUCAACUUCUAGUUGGGUCAUACGAGUCGGUUACUGGGUAGGUCAGGUCUUGGGCGAGUCGGCCCAGCUUGAAACCCGUCUGGGUUGUGGGCCACGCACAGGUGAGCCUCUUUUAUUUUCCCUUCUUUCUUUUUUUCUUUUUUUUUUACAAGAGCCCAUAUAAC